UACGGAGGGGGCGAGCGUUGUUCGGAAUCAUUGGGCGUAAAGGGCGCGUAGGCGGCCGUCCAAGUCGGGUGUGAAAUCCCUCGGCUCAACCGAGGAACUGCACUCGAUACUGGUCGGCUUGAAUCCGGGAGAGGGAUGCGGAAUUCCGGGUGUAGCGGUGAAAUGCGUAGAUAUCUGGAGGAACACCGGUGGCGAAGGCGGCAUCCUGGACCGGUAUUGACGCUGAGGCGCGAAAGCCAGGGGAGCAAACGGG
This 253-nucleotide ribosomal RNA is filed under the name uncultured bacterium. RNAcentral describes it as "partial 16S ribosomal RNA". It matches the Rfam family "Bacterial small subunit ribosomal RNA", at positions 524 to 776 of the family's 1533-position model. The record is from RNAcentral.